Molecule: small RNA, 28 nt
Filed under: Bombyx mori (domestic silkworm)
Lineage: Eukaryota; Metazoa; Arthropoda; Insecta; Lepidoptera; Bombycidae
Description: piRNA piR-bmo-1366879
Source: RNAcentral
UGCGCGCUGGUCCUGUACGAUACAUGAC